GCCCGGCUACCUCAGUCGGCAGAGCAUGAGACUCUUAAUUUCAGCGUCGUGGGUUCGAGCCCCACGUUGGGCG
Non-coding RNA from Sus scrofa (pig), 73 nucleotides. NCBI's taxonomy places the organism in Eukaryota, Metazoa, Chordata, Mammalia, Artiodactyla, Suidae. The record is from Rfam.